RNAcentral lists this transfer RNA (85 nucleotides) under Meiothermus ruber. RNAcentral's name for it is "tRNA-Leu". It matches the Rfam family "tRNA". From Rfam's summary of the family: Transfer RNA (tRNA) molecules are approximately 80 nucleotides in length. Their secondary structure includes four short double-helical elements and three loops (D, anti-codon, and T loops). The record is from RNAcentral. Lineage: Bacteria; Thermotogati; Deinococcota; Deinococci; Thermales; Thermaceae. RNAcentral also lists the same sequence under 3 other names.
GCGCGGAUGGUGGAACUGGUAGACACGCGAGACUUAGGAUCUCGUGCCGCAAGGUGUGGGGGUUCAAGUCCCCCUCCGCGCACCA